This 203-nucleotide unclassified non-coding RNA is filed under the name Hevea brasiliensis (rubber tree). The record is from RNAcentral. Lineage: Eukaryota; Viridiplantae; Streptophyta; Magnoliopsida; Malpighiales; Euphorbiaceae.
UACGACACGCGCCUUGACCAUGGCGCCCCGGGCGCGGUUGUUGAGGAGCCGUGCCGCGGCAACGCUCGCCGCACGGCCGCGCCCGAAGGACCCACUCCUCCUGACUCCGCCGUGUGAGAGACCGCCUGCCUUCUGCGCGGCUCUGAGGGCCUGCGCGAGAAACGAUUUUGCCUUGGGCGCGCGCGUCGAACGGAUACGGCCUG